This 29-nucleotide non-coding RNA is filed under the name unclassified sequences. The record is from RNAcentral.
GAUUAUCGAAGAUUAGCUUAAUUCAUAUC